Molecule: ribosomal RNA, 501 nt
Filed under: uncultured bacterium
Lineage: Bacteria
Description: partial 16S ribosomal RNA
Rfam family: Bacterial small subunit ribosomal RNA
Source: RNAcentral
GACGAACGCUGGCGGCGUGCUUAACACAUGCAAGUCGAACGGCAGCACGGGUGCUUGCACCUGGUGGCGAGUGGCGAACGGGUGAGUAAUACAUCGGAACGUACCUUAUCGUGGGGGAUAACGCAGCGAAAGCUGUGCUAAUACCGCAUACGCCCUGAGGGGGAAAGCGGGGGAUCGCAAGACCUCGCGCGAUUAGAGCGGCCGAUGCCUGAUUAGCUUGUUGGUGGGGUAAAAGCCCACCAAGGCGACGAUCAGUAGCUGGUCUGAGAGGAAGGUCAGCCACCCUGGGAAUGAGACACGGCCCAGCCUCCUACGGGAGGCAGCAGUGGGGAAUUUUGGACAAUGGGGGCAACCCUGAUCCAGCAAUGCCGCGUGAUUGAAGAAGGCCUUCGGGUUGUAAAGCGCUUUUGUCAGGGAAGAAACACCGGCUCUAACACAGUCCGGGAAUGACGGUACCUGAAGAAUAAGCACCGGCUAACUACGUUCCAGCCUCCGCCGUAA